This 23-nucleotide small nuclear RNA is filed under the name Arabidopsis thaliana (thale cress). Its description in RNAcentral is "snRNA_05756". Lineage: Eukaryota; Viridiplantae; Streptophyta; Magnoliopsida; Brassicales; Brassicaceae. The record is from RNAcentral.
GUAGUUUGGGUUGUAUUUUACCA